Molecule: long non-coding RNA, 903 nt
Organism: Nicotiana tabacum (common tobacco)
Lineage: Eukaryota; Viridiplantae; Streptophyta; Magnoliopsida; Solanales; Solanaceae
Source: RefSeq, a predicted model, not a curated record
CAAACCUCAACCCUAGAGACAAGAGAAAAAUUGGCCGCACCUAAUUCCUUCAUUUCAAAAAACACCCAGCAUAUUCAUCCAAACAUUUUUCUGCCAAUCUCAACGAUACCAACUUCCCAUCCAUUUUACGUCCUAAUUUAGCCUUUGAUCUUUAUUCCCUUUCCUUUUUCAAAUUUAUGUUGUUUCUCUAUUUCCUUGUUCGAUGUUAAUUAUUAAAAACUUCAAUUAUUAUGGCAUAAUCUCCUAAGACCCAGAAAGGUACGGGAACGAGAGUGGGAAUUAAAAAACGAAGCAGAAAAGCAAAAGGGGGAUGGGAACGAAAAUCCAAAGAGCAACGAAUCUCAAUGCUCCAUCUCAUAUUUUAUGGUCCAUUUACAAAAGUAGCGUCUCCUCCCAAACUUUAAUUUACAGUUACUGCUUCAUCUACAAGUGUAGCCUUAUCGGACAGCAGUGUGUCCUCAAUUGCUGACAAAUCUUUUUCAUUCUAAAGAGAUUUUGAAAAAAUAUAUAUAUAAAGGAGAUGAUGUUUCUUCUCGUCAAUUUCGGGCCUUUGAUUUUCAAUGGAGUUCGAUUGAGGCUGAGUCGUGUGAGAUCCGUGUGGAGCUGACGAGCGCGAGUUCCGUCGGAGUUUUGGAGCGUUGGGCACUGGUUUGAUUCGCUGGAAGGGCUUGGGAGACGGUUAUGGAGCUUUAGAGCGAGAUUAUGGUACUGGACCCAGUUGCCCUGAGGUGCAUCAUCUCGGAUCAACUGACUUGGAGACUCGAGAUAGAUCUGCUGGCGUCCGCAGACCUUGAAGUCCCCUUCUAUUUCCCUUAUUUACUGCUCUUUUCAUUCGAGACAGUUGUACUUAUUUCAGACUAUGUUUGUAGAAAUUCUAGAAGCUCGUGAACUUGUGACUCCAGA